Caenorhabditis elegans is the source of this 105-nucleotide non-coding RNA. The record is from Ensembl. Lineage: Eukaryota; Metazoa; Nematoda; Chromadorea; Rhabditida; Rhabditidae.
UGACACCCAUAUUGUCUAUGUUCAAAAAUAGUGAGCUUUCAGGCCCAACUAGGCUUGAUUUAGUCCGGUUUUAGGCGUUAACUUCAAAAUUUUCGAAAUUUCAAA